CGUCUAUAUACGUAUAGCAUAUCAAUAAGCGGAGGAAAAGAAACUAACUAGGAUUCCCUCAGUAACGGCGAGUGAAGCGGGAAGAGCUCAAAUUUGAAAUCUUCAAGGUUCUACCUUGACGAAUUGUAGUUUAAAGAAGUGUUUUCUGUUGGAGUUUUGGUAAAAGUUCUUUGGAAUAGGACAUCAUAGAGGGUGAGAAUCCCGUAUUUGACCAUUAUUUCCAGCUUUGUGAUACACUUUCAAAGAGUCGGAUUGUUUGGGAAUGCAGUCCAAAAUGGGUGGUAAAUUUCAUCUAAAGCUAAAUAUUGGCGAGAGACCGAUAGCGAACAAGUACCGUGAGGGAAAGAUGAAAAGAACUUUGAAAAGAGAGUUAAACAGUACGUGAAAUUGUCAAAAGGGAAGCGUUUGACACCAGUGUUGUUUUUCCGAAAAUCAAUUAUAAAUGUUUUGUUUCUGAGGAGUGAUGACUUCAUCGGCUUCCUUCUCUCUUUACGAAACUUUUGUAAUGCACUUUUCGGUUAACAAGUCAACAUCAAUUUCUUUUGUUGUAAAAGAGUAUUCGGAAGGUGGCUUUCUUUUCGGAGAAAGUGUUUAUAGCCCUAUACUUCUACAAUCGGAGAGAUUGAGGUCUGCAGCGUAGAUCCUUCGGGGUUAGAUACACUUGUGCUAAGUUAUAGCUUUUCAUAGACAACUUGUUGACUAUGUUUAGUCUUGUAGCUUACUCGCUGACGCUAUUUUACCUACGCUUAGGAUGUUGACUGAUAUGUAGUCGU
RNAcentral lists this ribosomal RNA (773 nucleotides) under uncultured Neocallimastigales. RNAcentral's name for it is "partial large subunit ribosomal RNA". It matches the Rfam family "Eukaryotic large subunit ribosomal RNA", at positions 26 to 643 of the family's 3401-position model. Lineage: Eukaryota; Fungi; Neocallimastigomycota; Neocallimastigomycetes; Neocallimastigales. The record is from RNAcentral.